RNAcentral lists this ribosomal RNA (496 nucleotides) under uncultured bacterium. RNAcentral's name for it is "partial 16S ribosomal RNA". It matches the Rfam family "Bacterial small subunit ribosomal RNA", at positions 28 to 507 of the family's 1533-position model. The record is from RNAcentral.
GAUGAACGCUGGCGGCAUGCCUAAUACAUGCAAGUAGAACGCUGAAGGAGGAGCUUGCUCUUUCCGGAUGAGUUGCGAACGGGUGAGUAACGCGUAGGUAACCUGCCUGGUAGCGGGGGAUAACUAUUGGAAACGAUAGCUAAUACCGCAUAACAGUAGAUAUUGCAUGAUAUUUGCUUGAAAGGGGCAAUUGCUCCACUACCAGAUGGACCUGCGUUGUAUUAGCUAGUUGGUGAGGUAACGGCUCACCAAGGCGACGAUACAUAGCCGACCUGAGAGGGUGAUCGGCCACACUGGGACUGAGACACGGCCCAGACUCCUACGGGAGGCAGCAGUAGGGAAUCUUCGGCAAUGGACGGAAGUCUGACCGAGCAACGCCGCGUGAGUGAAGAAGGUUUUCGGAUCGUAAAGCUCUGUUGUAAGAGAAGAACGAGUGUGAGAGUGGAAAGUUCACACUGUGACGGUAUCUUACCAGAAAGGGACGGCUAACUACGUG